UUGGAUUGUAUUCCACUGGACUAUUGCAUCAAGGAAUGCCCCAUUUAGACCAGAACUGGUCAUCUGACAUGAACUGAGCAAUCACUGACAAUCUGAUGCAUACUGUACUCAAAACUACCAAAGUGCUAGCAGCCCUGUCAUUUGGAGGUGCACCGGGGUCCAGUUGGAAAAAAAAAAGUACUGCAUACAUGAGUUGAGGAAGACCUAUUACUGACCAUUACAAGUCUGUAGUGGUCCUGAAGACCUUGAUUAGCUGGUUCAGGUGUGUUUAAUGAAGACUGGAGCUUAUCUCUGCAAGAUAGUGGCCCUCCAGGAGCAGGAUUGACCACUACAGCACUAGACAUCUGUAAGCACAUCUGUAAAUUCUGCUGUUGGCAUCUUCAGUGCUACCAACUAGAUAAACUGGGUCUAAACUGUAUGCCAAAUCUAAAGUGCAAAUAUUGCACAAACAGCUUGUCGCUGAGGUAUGGUUACACACCUUUAAGGAUACUGCCCUCGUUGUACCCCAAGCUGUUGUACCCCUAAAGUUCAAUAUUGUUCUGGAUUUUUUUCGGAGUGUUCCUGAGUGGAUUUUGGUCAAAAUAAGCUACACUGUGGACCACACUGGCUACAUGGGGGAUAAAACAGAUCAGAUAAUAAAACAUGCUCAAACAUAUCAGAAGAACUGACUGUAGCAUCCAGGAUAAGAUUGUUUCCAGAACAAAUGAUAAACACCUGUGCAUCCACAGCAAUCAGACUGGAUCUGGCACUUUCAGUUAGCUCUUGCAAUUUUUGUUUACAAAAUGCAUAUGAAAACAGUUCAUCUGUGCCUGGGACCACCCAAGUGAAGAGUGACAGCAAGAUAUAAACCUAACCUUGAGACCUUAAUCAGGGGUGUCCAAUCCUACUCCCGGAGGGUCCAGCAAAGUUUAGCACCAAUCACAAUUAAACACAACAGAAGAAGCUAAUUCAUGUCUCCAGGAGUACUCGAGACUUCCGGGCAGGUGUGUCGGGGUAAUUUGAAGCUAAACUCUGCCGGACAUUGAGCCUCCAGGAGCAGGUUUGGACACCCCUGCUUAAGACCCUUAGCCUAAGCCCUAAAAUUUUACUGGUUGAUUGGAAUGUUGUUUUAAGUACCAACAAGGAUGCUGAUCCAAGAACACAUCCUACGUAUCUUGACCUCCAGGGAGGUGUAGUCUAGAGGUUAAAGCUCUGGGCUGCUAACCAAAAGGAUGUAGGGUCCAAACCAAGGUGUGAUCCAAGAUUAAUGAUCACUGUAGCCUUGAACAUGGCACUUAUCAUAAGAUUACUUCCGGAGGAUGGGAAUACUGAACUAGUGUACUAGUGUGAUGUAGGUUACGUUGAAACAUGAAUGACAAAUUAGGGAAUUACCUCCUGUUUUUGUUUCAGCGGCCGUGAACCGUAAGGGUGUAUUUUUAUCAGGGAGAGGGAGCGCAGCAGGAGCUCACAGUGGGUUAUUUUAAGAGUGUCCCUUAAUCAUUCCUGCUUGACAUGUUCUCACUGAUAGCCAGACCUUCCCAGAACAACGCAGGAAGGCCUACCAUUACCCCUGUUCAUAUCAGUGUCCCCACUCUUUCACAGGAGGGUUUUACGCAUCUAUAUGCAGCACUGAUACCAUCAGCAAACCCGUGCUCAUACUCAUAUACUAUCAAACGCGCCGCCUCAUGCACGCAGAGCUGUAAACGCUCCUAAAAUACCCCGAUGAACUCCUGCGAUGCUGCUCACUGAAUGAAGAAUGACCUUGUGCAGGGGAGUGUUUGUGUGUGGGAUGACAGAGGAAGAUAUGCCAUCUCUAGCAAGACGCAGUUUUAUAAGAUUACUUCGAUUCUUUUUUUGGCUCUCAUACUCCAAGAGGAAAUAAAUUAUUUUGAAGAAAUGAGAAAUGAAAUCACUGUAUGCAAGAAAAGGGACUUUGCUUUCCAAGACUGCAAGUUAAGCAUAUCUAUUACUCAAACUCACUGUAGGGUUAGUGAUGUGACUAAACCCUUAACAUUAAGUAUGAA
This is a long non-coding RNA of Cyprinus carpio (common carp), 2003 nucleotides long. RefSeq lists it as uncharacterized. The transcript is spliced from 4 exons. NCBI's taxonomy places the organism in Eukaryota, Metazoa, Chordata, Actinopteri, Cypriniformes, Cyprinidae. The record is from RefSeq and is a predicted model, not a curated record.